AGAGUUUGAUCCUGGCUCAGGAUGAACGCUGGCGGCGUGCUUAACACAUGCAAGUCGAACGAUGAUGCCAGCUUGCUGGUGGAUUAGUGGCGAACGGGUGAGUAACACGUGAGUAACCUGCCCUUGACUCUGGGAUAAGCCUGGGAAACUGGGUCUAAUACCGGAUAUGACCUUCCAUCGCAUGGUGGUUGGUGGAAAGCUUUUGUGGUUUUGGAUGGACUCGCGGCCUAUCAGCUUGUUGGUGGGGUAAUGGCCUACCAAGGCGACGACGGGUAGCCGGCCUGAGAGGGUGACCGGCCACACUGGGACUGAGACACGGCCCAGACUCCUACGGGAGGCAGCAGUGGGGAAUAUUGCGCAAUGGGCGAAAGCCUGACGCAGCGACGCCGCGUGAGGGAUGACGGCCUUCGGGUUGUAAACCUCUUUCGCCAGGGACGAAGGGUGACUGACGGUACCUGGAGAAGAAGCACCGGCUAACUACGUGCCAGCAGCCGCGGUAAUAC
RNAcentral lists this ribosomal RNA (503 nucleotides) under uncultured bacterium. Its description in RNAcentral is "bacterial SSU rRNA". It matches the Rfam family "Bacterial small subunit ribosomal RNA", at positions 8 to 526 of the family's 1533-position model. The record is from RNAcentral.